AUUGAACGCUGGCGGCAGGCUUAACACAUGCAAGUCGAGCGGGGGAAGGUAGCUUGCUACCGGACCUAGCGGCGGACGGGUGAGUAAUGCUUAGGAAUCUGCCUAUUAGUGGGGGACAACAUCUCGAAAGGGAUGCUAAUACCGCAUACGUCCUACGGGAGAAAGCAGGGGAUCUUCGGACCUUGCGCUAAUAGAUGAGCCUAAGUCGGAUUAGCUAGUUGGUGGGGUAAAGGCCUACCAAGGCGGCGAUCUGUAGCGGGUCUGCGAGGAUGGUCCUCCACGCUGGGACUGAGACACCGCCCAGACUCCUACGGGAGGCAGCAGUGGGGCAUGUUGGACAAUUGGGGGAGACCUGUUCCAGCCAUGCCGCGUGUGUUAAUAAGGCCUUAUGGUUUUAAUGCACUUUAAGCGAGGAGGAGGCUACUCUAGUUAAUACCUAGGGAUAGUGGACGUUACUCGCAGAAUAAGCACCGGCUAACUCUGUACCAGCGGCCGCCGUAA
Molecule: ribosomal RNA, 501 nt
Filed under: uncultured bacterium
Lineage: Bacteria
Description: partial 16S ribosomal RNA
Rfam family: Bacterial small subunit ribosomal RNA
Source: RNAcentral